This is a long non-coding RNA of Cucumis sativus (cucumber), 714 nucleotides long. RefSeq lists it as uncharacterized. NCBI's taxonomy places the organism in Eukaryota, Viridiplantae, Streptophyta, Magnoliopsida, Cucurbitales, Cucurbitaceae. The transcript has 4 exons. The record is from RefSeq and is a predicted model, not a curated record.
GAGCACCUCUUUCUUCCUUUCUAGUUUACGGACAAACGGGAGUUUUGUGAGGUAAGAAGACGUUAUUACCCUUCAUAUAAUUUCCCCCCAAAACUAUGACGCUCACUCCUCCGACUGCUUCCGCGACUGAGGUAACGACGGCGCCAAACACCCUGACGACGCAAGCGGGUAACUGUAUUCGGAUACAAUUGCGAAACCUCUUCCUGUCAGCACGUCCGGUGGACGGCGAUCUCUUCAAGUGCCCUCAAGGAGCAUGACAAUCCGAUUCUCAUCAUUGAUACUAGACAUUCUUCCACAUAUCUCGGUUAGAAAUUACAGAUGGUUUGGCGAAACAAGCAAUUCACGGGUAUGGACCUGGCAUAAUGGUGUGAAACUCAUUUGGGUUCCAAUGGCCCUACUUUCCAAUGCACCUUUCUCCAUUCAGUACAACGUCUCUUUCUUCAACUCCUUGGCUGUACCUCCAACUCAACUUAACUUCCUUCGUUUCUUUUGCCAUCUCCCAAGUCCCUUCCCUUGAUACUCUUCUUUGGGGAAGUUUCUAGUAUUGUAUUAGUGUGGAGUCUUCAAUUUUACAUAUUAUUUAUAAGAAGCAUUCAAUAAUUGUAUGAAACUUAUGAAAUAAAAUAAUAUUUCAUAAAAUAGUAAAUAGUGAAAUGAAGUGUUUAGGGGAGAGAGUGUACUUCACAGUACUAGAAUUUUCUCCAAUUCUCUUUC